RNAcentral lists this ribosomal RNA (407 nucleotides) under uncultured bacterium. Its description in RNAcentral is "partial 16S ribosomal RNA". It matches the Rfam family "Bacterial small subunit ribosomal RNA", at positions 30 to 526 of the family's 1533-position model. The record is from RNAcentral.
AUUGAACGCUGGCGGCAUGCCUAACACAUGCAAGUCGAGCGGAGUGGCGGACGGGUGAGUAAUGUCUAGGAAUCUGCCUGGUAGCGGGGGAUAACGUCCGGAAACGGUCGCUAAUACCGCAUACUAUCAGAUGAGCCUAGGUCGGAUUAGCUAGUUGGUGGGGUAACGGCCUACCAAGGCGACGAUCCGUAACUGGUCUGAGAGGAUGAUCAGUCACACUGGGACUGAGACACGGUCCAGACUCCUACGGGAGGCAGCAGUGGGGAAUAUUGGACAAUGGGCGAAAGCCUGAUACAGCCAUGCCGCGUGUGUGAAGAAGGUCUUCGGGUUGUAAAGCACUUUAAGUUGGGAGGCGUUACCAGCAGAAUAAGCACCGGCUAACUACGUGCCAGCAGCCGCGGUAAUAC